UACGGAGGGUGCGAGCGUUGUCCGGAAUCACUGGGCGUAAAGGGCGCGUAGGUGGCGCGGGAAGUCAACGGUGAAAGUUCAGGGCUCAACCCUGAAUCGGCCGUCGAUACUCCCGGGCUUGAGCACUGUAGAGGCAGGUGGAAUUCCGGGUGUAGCGGUGGAAUGCGUAGAGAUCCGGAAGAACACCGGUGGCGAAGGCGGCCUGCUGGGCAGUUGCUGACACUGAUGCGCGACAGCGUGGGGAGCAAACAGGAUUAGAUACCCUGGUAGUCCACGCCGUAAACGAUGGGCACUAGAUGCUUGGGGGAGCGACCCCCUGAGUGUCGGCGCUAACGCAUUAAGUGCCCCGCCUGGGGAGUACGGCCGCAAGGCUGAA
This 376-nucleotide ribosomal RNA is filed under the name uncultured bacterium. RNAcentral's name for it is "bacterial SSU rRNA". It matches the Rfam family "Bacterial small subunit ribosomal RNA", at positions 524 to 898 of the family's 1533-position model. The record is from RNAcentral.